This 439-nucleotide ribosomal RNA is filed under the name uncultured Pseudomonas sp. Its description in RNAcentral is "bacterial SSU rRNA". It matches the Rfam family "Bacterial small subunit ribosomal RNA", at positions 943 to 1382 of the family's 1533-position model. The record is from RNAcentral. Lineage: Bacteria; Pseudomonadati; Pseudomonadota; Gammaproteobacteria; Pseudomonadales; Pseudomonadaceae.
GGUUUAAUUCGAAGCAACGCGAGAACCUUACCAGGCCUUGACAUGCAGAGAACUUUCCAGAGAUGGAUUGGUGCCUUCGGGAACUCUGACACAGGUGCUGCAUGGCUGUCGUCAGCUCGUGUCGUGAGAUGUUGGGUUAAGUCCCGUAACGAGCGCAACCCUUGUCCUUAGUUACCAGCACGUUAUGGUGGGCACUCUAAGGAGACUGCCGGUGACAAACCGGAGGAAGGUGGGGAUGACGUCAAGUCAUCAUGGCCUUUAUGACCAGGGCUACACACGUGCUACAAUGGUCGGUACAAAGGGUUGCCAAGCCGCGAGGUGGAGCUAAUCCCAUAAAACCGAUCGUAGUCCGGAUCGCAGUCUGCAACUCGACUGCGUGAAGUCGGAAUCGCUAGUAAUCGUGAAUCAGAAUGUCACGGUGAAUACGUUCCCGGGCCUU